GCUUCGGUGGCCUAGUGGUUAGAGCGUCUGCCUAUGGAUGUGGGAAGUCAAGGGUUCGAUUCUCGGCCGAGUCA
Potamilus streckersoni is the source of this 74-nucleotide non-coding RNA. The record is from the annotation of a GenBank genome assembly. Lineage: Eukaryota; Metazoa; Mollusca; Bivalvia; Unionida; Unionidae.